CUAUCGGAGAGUUUGAUCCUGGCUCAGGAUAAACGCUGGCGGCGUGCAUGAGACAUGUAAGUCGUACGAGUCUCCGGGCUUGCUCGGAGACUAGUGGCGGACGGCUGAGUAACGCGUAGGU
Molecule: ribosomal RNA, 121 nt
Filed under: Chloroflexota bacterium
Lineage: Bacteria; Bacillati; Chloroflexota
Description: Chloroflexi bacterium partial 16S ribosomal RNA
Rfam family: Bacterial small subunit ribosomal RNA
Source: RNAcentral